CAAUAGCGUAUAUUAAAGUUGUUGCAGUUAAAAGCUCGUAGUUGGAUUUGUGGCGUACGGUGGGUUCCGGGCACUUGUUGUCUGAGUAACUUGCUGUUGCCAUCCUUGGGUGGAACCUGUGUGGCAUUAGGUUGUCGUGCAGGGGAUGCCCAUCAUUACUGUGAAAAAUUAGAGUGUUCAAAGCAGGCAUUAUGCCGUUGAAUAUAUUAGCAUGGAAUAAUAAGAUAGGACUUCGGAACUAUUUGUUGGUUUGCGUUACGAAGUAAUGAUUAAUAGGGACAGUUGGGGGUAGUUCGUAUUUCAUUGUCAGUAGGUGAAAUUCAUUGGAUUUCUGAAAGACGAACUA
RNAcentral lists this ribosomal RNA (346 nucleotides) under uncultured eukaryote. RNAcentral's name for it is "SSU rRNA". It matches the Rfam family "Eukaryotic small subunit ribosomal RNA", at positions 592 to 942 of the family's 1831-position model. The record is from RNAcentral.